RNAcentral lists this ribosomal RNA (233 nucleotides) under uncultured bacterium. RNAcentral's name for it is "partial 16S ribosomal RNA". It matches the Rfam family "Bacterial small subunit ribosomal RNA", at positions 103 to 334 of the family's 1533-position model. The record is from RNAcentral.
CGGGUGAGUAACACGUGGGUAACCUGCCUCAAACAGGGGGAUAGCCUUCCGAAAGGAAGAUUAAUACCGCAUAACAUAGUUUAGCCGCAUGGCUAGAUUAUCAAAGGAGUAAUCCGGUUUGAGAUGGACCCGCGGCGCAUUAGCUAGUUGGUGAGGUAACGGCUCACCAAGGCGACGAUGCGUAGCCGACCUGAGAGGGUGAUCGGCCACAUUGGAACUGAGAUACGGUCCAA